This 307-nucleotide unclassified non-coding RNA is filed under the name Hevea brasiliensis (rubber tree). Lineage: Eukaryota; Viridiplantae; Streptophyta; Magnoliopsida; Malpighiales; Euphorbiaceae. The record is from RNAcentral.
AUUCAUAAUUGCAUCAACACUAGCAUCUCCUUCAAGUUCAGAGAUACUUUGUCGCUUAAUGUUAGGAAUAUCUGGGUCUGUUGAAGGAUCAGCCUGACUAGAUAAUUUCCAGAUCCAAUUGUCCGGAAUUGUAGAAGAUAUCCAAAUUGGCAUAUUGAAACAAGACUCACCAUCUAAAUCAACCUGAAACUCUGCAGUAGUGGAAGUGGACAUAUCAGAAGGCCUUCUUCUGUCAACGCAGUUGGCUUUCCUUGGGGAGAAAGUAUCUGGAGUUGGAUUGCGGAACUUCAUCUUAGAUACAUGUAGA